CACAUGCAGUCGAGCGGUAGAGAGAAGCUUGCUUCUCUUGAGAGCGGCGGACGGGUGAGUAAUACCUAGGAAUCUGCCUGAUAGUGGGGGAUAACGUUCGGAAACGGACGCUAAUACCGCAUACGUCCUACGGGAGAAAGCAGGGGACCUUCGGGCCUUGCGCUAUCAGAUGAGCCUAGGUCGGAUUAGCUAGUUGGUGAGGUAAUGGCUCACCAAGGCUACGAUCCGUAACUGGUCUGAGAGGAUGAUCAGUCACACUGGAACUGAGACACGGUCCAGACUCCUACGGGAGGCAGCAGUGGGGAAUAUUGGACAAUGGGCGAAAGCCUGAUCCAGCCAUGCCGCGUGUGUGAAGAAGGUCUUCGGAUUGUAAAGCACUUUAAGUUGGGAGGAAGGGCAGUUACCUAAUACGUGAUUGUCUUGACGUUACCGACAGAAUAAGCACCGGCUAACUCUGUGCCAGCAGCCGCGGUAAUACAGAGGGUGCAAGCGUUAAUCGGAAUUACUGGGCGUAAAGCGCGCGUAGGUGGUUUGUUAAGUUGAAUGUGAAAUCCCCGGGCUCAACCUGGGAACUGCAUCC
This 580-nucleotide ribosomal RNA is filed under the name bacterium amp-w-91. Its description in RNAcentral is "bacterial SSU rRNA". It matches the Rfam family "Bacterial small subunit ribosomal RNA", at positions 52 to 628 of the family's 1533-position model. The record is from RNAcentral.